RNAcentral lists this ribosomal RNA (253 nucleotides) under uncultured bacterium. Its description in RNAcentral is "partial 16S ribosomal RNA". It matches the Rfam family "Bacterial small subunit ribosomal RNA", at positions 524 to 776 of the family's 1533-position model. The record is from RNAcentral.
UACGAAGGGGGCUAGCGUUGUUCGGAAUUACUGGGCGUAAAGCGCGUGUAGGCGGGUCUUUAAGUCAGGGGGGAAAUGCCAGGGCUCAACCUUGGAACUGCCUUUGAUACUGGAGACCUUGAGUCCGGGAGAGGUGAGUGGAAUUGCGAGUGUAGAGGUGAAAUUCGUAGAUAUUCGCAAGAACACCAGUGGCGAAGGCGGCUCACUGGCCCGGAACUGACGCUGAGACGCGAAAGCGUGGGGAGCGAACAGG